Molecule: long non-coding RNA, 1079 nt
Filed under: Cyanistes caeruleus (blue tit)
Lineage: Eukaryota; Metazoa; Chordata; Aves; Passeriformes; Paridae
Description: lncRNA (ENSCCEG00000016269.1)
Source: RNAcentral
AUGCGUUUCAGGGAUGAGGAAACUGAGGAAGAGGAGCUAAACACCUUUGCAUGGUUCACAGGGAUUUGGUCACAGCAGAAGUUGUUGGAUUCAGGAGGCUACACCACCCCCAUCUGCACCUACACCACAAGCCCACACUUUCUCCUUUUGGUAUUACUGCAAUACAAAUGCUUCCUUUCUCUUAUGUGCUUGCCAAGAUCUGGAGCAGAAGCGUCAUAUUCUCAACUAUGCCAGUGGAUGUGGUCAUUCCAUUGUCAAGCCAAACUGAACCAGAGAGGUUAUAGAGCAGCACAACCACACCACACCGAAUGAGCAACCAAACAACUCUAAGUGACACAGCACAGAAAUCCUCCAUUUAACAUCCAUGAAAAGGUCUCACUAAGCUCAUUAAAUUUUUUUGCCUACAUUAUGUUGUUUGUGUGUUUUUGUGAGAGAGAAAGCAAACCAAACUGAGCUCAACAAUCAGGAAGGGGUUUGGCUGUUGCAGCAUGGCACAGCCCUUCAACAGACAGGGAUACAGUGGGUGAGUGCUGAGUAUUAAUACCUACACUCCAACUCUAGUGUGACACUCCUUUGUCUCCCAGCAUCAUAAAGUGCUUCGCCAAAGUAAGCAUAAUUGUCUCCACUCCUAGCAGAGUACCUGCAGAGACAGAUGAUACUUCGCCUUUGGCAAAAAGGGAGUAACACCCUGGCACAUAUGCCUGCCUCUCUCAACAAGCUGUUGUGCCAAAAGUGUCAAAACAAAAAGAUUUUUGUUUUCCUGUCUAACCUGUUUUCUUCUCAAAGGACAGGCCUCAUUUCAGAAACAGGCAUUUCAAAAAAGCUCUUCUGAGGUGCUUUCCUACCAAUGUAAAGCUCUGUCCCCUGUAGUGGCUGAACCCUAUAUCAAAAAAAGCUUGAGGAGCUGUUCAAGCAAAAAUGCUUGCAGGUCUGCAGGUGCAAGAUCCAUAUCAGCUAGCAAAAGACUGGGGGGCAGCAGCAAAGUAGCAUAUUUUUGCAACCUCUGGAAGGUGAAGAUAAAAUCUUAAUGCAAAGAUUGAAAAGUGAGUGAGAAAAUAAAGCAGGGAAGUACUAUAGCA